GUCUUCUUGAUGAAAUUUGAAGUCGUGCCUGCCCAAUGAAAGUAUUUAAAUGGCCGCGGUAUUUUGACCGUGCAAAGGUAGCAUAAUCAUUAGUCUUUUAAUUGGAGGCUGGAAUGAAUGGUUUGACGAAACAAUAACUGUCUCAGGAUUAUUUAUUGAAAUUUAUUUUUAAGUUAAAAAGCUUAAAUAGUGAUGGGGGACGAGAAGACCCUAUAGAUCUUUAUAGUAUGAUUUAAAUUAAGUUGUUGGUUGUUAUAAUUACUUGUUUUAAGUUAGAUUAUUUCAUUGGGGUGAUGAGAGAAUAGAAAAACUUCUUUUUAUUUAACUAUGAUGAUUGGUUAUAUGAUCCUGUAUUAUGGAAUAUAAGAAUAAGAUACCUUAGGGAUAACAGCGUAAUUUUAUUGGAGAGUUCUUAUCGAUAAUAAAGAUUGCGACCUCGAUGUUGGAUUAAGAUUAUAAUUAGGUGC
Molecule: ribosomal RNA, 467 nt
Filed under: Comidogryllus sp. MCJ-2002
Lineage: Eukaryota; Metazoa; Arthropoda; Insecta; Orthoptera; Gryllidae
Description: partial 16S ribosomal RNA
Rfam family: Bacterial large subunit ribosomal RNA
Source: RNAcentral